Molecule: ribosomal RNA, 377 nt
Filed under: uncultured bacterium
Lineage: Bacteria
Description: bacterial SSU rRNA
Rfam family: Bacterial small subunit ribosomal RNA
Source: RNAcentral
UAAUACAGAGGGUGCGAGCGUUGUCCGGAAUCACUGGGCGUAAAGGGCGCGUAGGUGGCUCGUUAAGCGUGUGGUGAAAGCCUGGGGCUCAACCCCAGGUCUGCCGUGCGAACUGGCGAGCUUGAGCAGAGUAGAGGCGGGUGGAAUUUCGGGUGUAGCGGUGGAAUGCGUAGAUAUCCGAAAGAACACCGGUGGCGAAGGCGGCCCGCUGGGCUCUUGCUGACACUGAUGCGCGACAGCGUGGGGAGCAAACAGGAUUAGAUACCCUGGUAGUCCACGCCGUAAACGAUGGGUACUAGGCGUCUGGGGGAGCGACCCCCUGGGUGCCGGCGCUAACGCAUGAAGUACCCCGCCUGGGGAGUACGGCCGCAAGGCUG